Molecule: non-coding RNA, 24 nt
Filed under: Arabidopsis thaliana (thale cress)
Lineage: Eukaryota; Viridiplantae; Streptophyta; Magnoliopsida; Brassicales; Brassicaceae
Source: RNAcentral
CACUCCCUUUCUACAGAUUACGUC